Mya arenaria is the source of this 1766-nucleotide long non-coding RNA. RefSeq lists it as uncharacterized. The record is from RefSeq and is a predicted model, not a curated record. Lineage: Eukaryota; Metazoa; Mollusca; Bivalvia; Myida; Myidae. The transcript has 3 exons.
UUGGGUUAUCUAUAAAGAUAUCAAAACCAGACAGUAAAUCAUGAAUGUGGACAAGAGUGUUGUCAAAUAGAAGAAGACCAUGAUAAUGCACUAACUGCAAUGAACUGAACUGACGUUGAAAAUAUGUGGGCACGAGUUCAUGGCGUUGUGAAAUAAUGUUAUACAAUGUUUGGGUAUAUUAAGCAUAAUUAUACACGUAGCCUUCGAUACAUCAAAAUCUACCUAUGAAAAUAUCAAAGUUUUGAAUGACAAUUUCAAACCGAUUUGAAGGGUGGGUAAGCUAAUCAGUUGACGCAGUAAGGACAGUAUUUUGAGUGGGGAGUGUUGGGGUUUUCUAGUUGAUUUGUGACAGACUCCAGCAGGGUUGGACCGUGGGUGUUGUCACGGGCAUUGUGCGUAUGAGAUAGGACACAGCGUUGGGAUAAUACCACACUUAAUGCAAAUUUGAAACUCUGUAACAGAUGACAAAUUAUCUGUCAUCUGCAUUUAACGUUUAUAUAAAUAGUGAUUUUAUUACCGGCAGGUAGUUUUGUGGUUUACUAGCGAUUCUGACAGUCAGAAAUUCAGAUUUAUCUUCAAAAGAAUUGCAUUUUCAAAGGGCACAAAAGCUGAACAGCCAUUGAAGACAGCGGUGCGUUCUUGUGUACGCUGCCUAGAAAAGUACCACUAGUUAUAAAACAACUUAUUAGAGCUAUUUUAAGUAUUAACGUCAAACUCAACCGGUGGUCGGUCCUUUUCCGCAGAAGACAAACCAUAUAUAUUAGGAUCUUAGUGUAUACGGAAAGACAAGAGGGGAGUUAAAGGACAACAUCGGUACAAAACACCCUGUACACUCGCGUGAUGGCGUCAACGUCGGUGAUGGUCGUAUGGACCUACUACCUUCUCCUGGUCCUCGCCGUAGCCAUGCUGUUCUACGGACAAGUGGCGGAAGCCAGUUGUCAUCAGAAAACAACUACAACUACAACGACGACGACAACACCUACCACCACCACCACUGGCCGGCAUCCAUAAUCACCAUGGCAACACAAAAACAUUCCAGAUUUGCCAAAUAACCAAACUACUUAUUAUUUUUAUAAAAUACAGUCAAAACUCGCUAUGUCUAAGUAUUUUGGACCUCAGGAAAUACUGAUAAUACCAGAUAAUGAAAGUUCGAUAUAACCGAAAUACAGAACAGGUCCAACUCAACCCAGAACAAUUGUAAAAGGUUCGACAUAAACAGAACAUCUAGAGAACAGUUUGACAUAGCGAAUUUUGACUGAACUAUUAAUGUCAUAUGUAUACAACUAAUAUUGUGUCUUCAUUGUUAUACAUUGUAACCCCUGUUUGAUCCCUAACAAAGGUAACUAUUAAUUAUGUAUGCUAAAACUUAUGCCAUGUAAGACAUCAGUUUGGUAAUAUCGCAAUUUAUGAACUACACUGUCAAAAUGAUUUGCACCUAACACUACUUGUAGCUUUAAAUUCAUAUUGUUCACAGCAACAACUCCAUGUCAGCAUAUAGCCUAGAAUGGCAGAAAUGUAGAAGCAAAAAGAUGUCUUCAGUGAGGACAAAUAUGGCAUUCAUGGUUGUUGUAUAUUGUAAUCUUGAAUAGUAUUGUUAUAUUUGACUGUUCUGGUGUUACUAUUGUCAUGCAAUUUUGUUUUAGAAUAGAAAGCACAAAAUAACAAUUCCUACCAAACAUUGAAUAAUUGCAACAUUUCACGAAUGGGAAGCUUUUUAUAGCCUUUGUUUGAAAAUAUGAAUUACUUAUAAUAAAUGUUCCCAGCUA